GCUUAUCUUUUCCAUGUGCUUUAUAGUUGAUUUGAAAGCUGUUUGUUUUAUUCUUUUAUUAUUAUUACUCGUGUGUAUUUGUAUGUAUAUUAUUAAAUACAGGUUAGAACCCUUCCAUAAAAAAAUAACAACCAUUGUCGUGUCAGAAUACUUAAUUGUUAAAAAAUAUUUUAGAAAAUUAUAAAAAUAUCAAGAAGGAUAAUACAAUUUCUACGGUUUGAGGCAGAGCAUUUAUGACAGACUCUCUUUUUUCUCUUUGUUUGGAAUUUAUACAUUUACGCAGUGGGUUGGACCUUAAAAUACGUAUCCCCGUGUAAAAUUGAAAAGACAGGAAAAAUAAUAAACUUUAUAUGUUUUUC
RNAcentral lists this long non-coding RNA (359 nucleotides) under Mytilus galloprovincialis (Mediterranean mussel). The record is from RNAcentral. Lineage: Eukaryota; Metazoa; Mollusca; Bivalvia; Mytilida; Mytilidae.